AGUAGCAGAGGACUCGCUAAUUUGACCCAGUCACAACCGAUUACAACGUAGCUGGGUAAUUCAAAACGUGGAAAUAUUCGCUGGAACGAAGUUCUUCCGUUUGAGGGUUACAGCUUGUAAACUUUGCCUUUCAAACAACCCCAGAAGAAAAAAUCACAAGGAUUACGAUCAAGUGAAUGUGCUGGCAAAAUAUCACUGCUGAUAAUUCUGUCCCUGAAGACAUCAGACAAAGGGCAUGCUAUUUUGUAUGCGGAUGACAUCACAAUUAUAGUUACUUCAAAAGAUCUAAAUACUUUGAAUGAUAAAUUAAAUAUAGUAAUGAAACGCAUUUCUAAUUGGUUUCAAAAUAAUCAUUUGGUACUUAAUUUGGGAAAGACUGAUUUGAUUAAAUUUACUAUCCAAAAACUCCGGAAUAUACAUUAUCAGUGACAUAUAAUAAUUUAGGUCUUAAAGUUGAAGAUAAUGUUAAAUUUUUGGGUAUAUAUGUAGAUCGUCAUCUUAAUUGAAAACAACACUGAAAAAUUAUUAAACAAUUGAAUACAGCAUGUUUCAUGCUGAGGAAAUUAGAGUUCAUUGUUAGUGAACAAGUCCUACAAAUGGUCUAUUUUUCUCAUUAUCAGUCACAACUUGAAUAUGGUAUUAUUUUGGUGGGUUCUUCUCCAGCAAUGAAAAGCAUUUUUGCGGCCCAAAAACGGGCACUCAGGGUUAUGUUAAGAUUGAGUCCUAGAAGCUCUUGUAAAGAAGGCUUUAAGAGAAUGGAUAUUUUACAGUUCCUUGUUUAUAUAUAUCUGCUAUGAUGAUGCCCAUUGUUAGAAAUCAUAAUACUUAUCAAACAAAUAAAGCUAUUCAUCAUAUAUGCCCAAGACAAUUUGAAAAGUUACAUGUUUCCUCAGUAAGACUAUCUUUGAUUCAAAGGGGUGUGUUGUAUUCAUCGAUCAUAAUUUAUAAUAAUCUUCCCCAAAAUAUACAAAUUUUGAAAGACAAUGUGAAUAUUUUUAAGAACACAUUUCAAUUUUAAUUUCAAAUUAUUUUUGUUCAUCAGAUCUACAUUUUGCGAUGGCGCCUCCAGAUACAGAACAUGUCAAAGCCCAAGUUACAAUAAAAUUAAUGCAGAGGACGUCAUAAAGUUAUUACAACAUACUUACAACCAUUGUUGCAAUAACUAUUGAUAAAAUGAUUGAUACAAUGUUAUAAUUAAAUACAACAUGCAUAUAACACUUGCAUUACAACUUAUUAUCAUAAUAAAAUACAUAUUGACAUUGUCAAUAAUAGAGUAAAAGCAUAUCUAAAGAAUUAUAGGUACCCUACAAUAAAAGUUUUAAAAAAAUGA
Cryptotermes secundus is the source of this 1330-nucleotide long non-coding RNA. RefSeq lists it as uncharacterized. The record is from RefSeq and is a predicted model, not a curated record. Lineage: Eukaryota; Metazoa; Arthropoda; Insecta; Blattodea; Kalotermitidae. The transcript is spliced from 2 exons.